GACGAACGCUGGCGGCGUGCUUAACACAUGCAAGUCGAACGGAAAGGCCCUGCUUUUGUGGGGUGCUCGAGUGGCGAACGGGUGAGUAACACGUGAGUAACCUGCCCUUGACUUUGGGAUAACUUCAGGAAACUGGGGCUAAUACCGGAUAGGAGCUCCUGCUGCAUGGUGGGGGUUGGAAAGUUUCGGCGGUUGGGGAUGGACGUGCGGCUUAUCAGCUUGUUGGUGGGGUAGUGGCUUACCAAGGCUUUGACGGGUAGCCGGCCUGAGAGGGUGACCGGCCACACUGGGACUGAGAUACGGCCCAGACUCCUACGGGAGGCAGCAGUGGGGAAUAUUGCACAAUGGGCGGAAGCCGGAUGCAGCAACGCCGCGUGCGGGAUGACGGCCUUCGGGUUGUAAACCGCUUUCGCCUGGGACGAAGCUGGAGUGACGGUAAUGGGUAAAGAAGCACCGGCUAACUACGUG
RNAcentral lists this ribosomal RNA (468 nucleotides) under uncultured bacterium. RNAcentral's name for it is "partial 16S ribosomal RNA". It matches the Rfam family "Bacterial small subunit ribosomal RNA", at positions 28 to 507 of the family's 1533-position model. The record is from RNAcentral.